This 458-nucleotide ribosomal RNA is filed under the name uncultured bacterium. Its description in RNAcentral is "bacterial SSU rRNA". It matches the Rfam family "Bacterial small subunit ribosomal RNA", at positions 30 to 507 of the family's 1533-position model. The record is from RNAcentral.
AUUGAACGCUGGCGGCAGGCCUAAUACAUGCAAGUCGAACGGUAACAUAAAAGAAGCUUUGCUUCUUUUGAUGACGAGUGGCGGACGGUGAGUAAUAUUUGGGAAACUACCUGAUAGAGGGGGGACAACAGUUGGAAACGACUGCUAAUACCGCAUAAAGCCUGAGGGUGAAAGCAGCAAUGCGCUAUCAGAUGUGCCCAAACGGGAUUAGCUAGUAGGUGAGGUAAAGGCUCACCUAGGCGACGAUCUCUAGCUGGUCUGAGAGGAUGAUCAGCCACAUUGGGACUGAGACACGGCCCAGACUCCUACGGGAGGCAGCAGUAGGGAAUAUUGCACAAUGGAGGAAACUCUGAUGCAGCCAUGCCGCGUGUGUGAAGAAGGCCUUCGGGUUGUAAAGCACUUUCGGAGGGGAGGAAAAGAUGACGUUACCCUCAGAAGAAGCACCGGCUAACUCCGUG